UACGUAGGGGGCAAGCGUUAUCCGGAAUUAUUGGGCGUAAAGCGUGCGUAGGCGGCUUUUUAAGCGUGGGGUUUAAGGCUAUGGCUCAACCAUAGUAUGCCCUGCGAACUGGAAGGCUUGAGUACAGGAGAGGAAAGCGGAAUUCCUAGUGUAGCGGUGAAAUGCGUAGAUAUUAGGAGGAACACCAGUGGCGAAGGCGGCUUUCUGGACUGUAACUGACACUGAGGCAUGAAAGCGUGGGUAGCAAACAGG
This 252-nucleotide ribosomal RNA is filed under the name uncultured bacterium. Its description in RNAcentral is "partial 16S ribosomal RNA". It matches the Rfam family "Bacterial small subunit ribosomal RNA", at positions 524 to 776 of the family's 1533-position model. The record is from RNAcentral.